GAUUAACGCUGGCGGCGUGCAUAACACAUGCAAGUCGAACGAUGAAACUUAAAUGAUUUCUUCGGAAUGAACUUAAGUGGCUUAGUGGCGGACGGGUGAGUAACGCGUGAGUAACCUGCCUUACACAAGGGGAUAGCCGUUGGAAACGACGAAUAAUACCCUAUGAUGUUUCUAUCUCGCAUGAGAUAUUAACCAAAGUGUUAGCGGUGUAAGAUGGACUUGCGUCUGACUAGCUAGUUGGUGAGAAAAAAGCCCACCAAGGCAACGAUCAGUAGCCGGCUUGAGAGAGUGUACGGCCACAUUGGGACUGAGACACGGCCCAGACUCCUACGGGAGGCAGCAGUGGGGAAUUUUGCACAAUGGGGGAAACCCUGAUGCAGCGACGCCGCGUGAUUUAGAAGGCCUUCGGGUUGUAAAAAUCUUUUGUAUAGGAAGAAAAUGACAGUACUAUACGAAUAAGGUCCGGCUAAUUACGUG
Molecule: ribosomal RNA, 477 nt
Filed under: uncultured bacterium
Lineage: Bacteria
Description: partial 16S ribosomal RNA
Rfam family: Bacterial small subunit ribosomal RNA
Source: RNAcentral